RNAcentral lists this transfer RNA (73 nucleotides) under Pedobacter sp. RNAcentral describes it as "tRNA-Ile". The stretch from base 4 to 64 matches the Rfam family "tRNA", at positions 7 to 64 of the family's 71-position model. From Rfam's summary of the family: Transfer RNA (tRNA) molecules are approximately 80 nucleotides in length. Their secondary structure includes four short double-helical elements and three loops (D, anti-codon, and T loops). Further hydrogen bonds mediate the characteristic L-shaped molecular structure. tRNAs have two regions of fundamental functional importance: the anti-codon, which is responsible for specific mRNA codon recognition, and the 3' end, to which the tRNAs corresponding amino acid is attached (by aminoacyl-tRNA synthetases). tRNAs cope with the degeneracy of the genetic code in two manners: having more than one tRNA (with a specific anti-codon) for a particular amino acid; and 'wobble' base-pairing, i.e. permitting non-standard base-pairing at the 3rd anti-codon position. Lineage: Bacteria; Pseudomonadati; Bacteroidota; Sphingobacteriia; Sphingobacteriales; Sphingobacteriaceae. The record is from RNAcentral.
ACAGUAACUCAGUUUGGUAGAGUAAUAGACUUAUAAUCUAUGGGCCGGUGGUUCGAAUCCACCCAAUUUUCUA